AAGCAGGAGUGAUGGGCAAUCGCAAGAUGGACGGUGUCAUUCUGAAGGGAAGGAUUGUCGGAUUCCAUGAGGCAGAGCCUCACAUCCUGAGAUUCUCCAUCACAGACGAGGACUGAAGGCAGCCCAGUCAUACAGGACCAAACCUGAACGCUGGCGAAUACAAAAAUAAAGCUUAAUUUUCAUGACCAGAUUAUAUGCUAAUCAGCGCCAAUCUUUAAGGCUCUGAGCUGUAGAGGGACAGGAACGGGGUAUAAUUGCCACAUCACUGAAUCAAAAAAAUAAAUGUAUCACUAGAAUGAGCACAUGAAAUGGA
Long non-coding RNA from Rhincodon typus (whale shark), 313 nucleotides. RefSeq lists it as uncharacterized. NCBI's taxonomy places the organism in Eukaryota, Metazoa, Chordata, Chondrichthyes, Orectolobiformes, Rhincodontidae. The record is from RefSeq and is a predicted model, not a curated record. The transcript has 2 exons.